AGCGUAGGCGGACUUUUAAGUGAGAUGUGAAAUACCCGGGCUCAACUUGGGUGCUGCAUUUCAAACUGGAAGUCUAGAGUGCAGGAGAGGAGAAUGGAAUUCCUAGUGUAGCGGUGAAAUGCGUAGAGAUUAGGAAGAACACCAGUGGCGAAGGCGAUUCUCUGGACUGUAACUGACGCUGAGGCUGAAAGCGUGGGGAGCAAACA
This 206-nucleotide ribosomal RNA is filed under the name uncultured bacterium. Its description in RNAcentral is "partial 16S ribosomal RNA". It matches the Rfam family "Bacterial small subunit ribosomal RNA", at positions 568 to 774 of the family's 1533-position model. The record is from RNAcentral.